GUCCAUGCCGUAAACGUUGGGCACUAGGUGUGGGGGACAUUCCACGUUUUCCGCGCCGUAGCUAACGCAUUAAGUGCCCCGCCUGGGGAGUACGGCCGCAAGGCUAAAACUCAAAGGAAUUGACGGGGGCCCGCACAAGCGGCGGAGCAUGCGGAUUAAUUCGAUGCAACGCGAAGAACCUUACCAAGGCUUGACAUGAACCGGUAAUACCUGGAAACAGGUGCCCCGCUUGCGGUCGGUUUACAGGUGGUGCAUGGUUGUCGU
This 264-nucleotide ribosomal RNA is filed under the name uncultured bacterium. RNAcentral's name for it is "partial 16S ribosomal RNA". It matches the Rfam family "Bacterial small subunit ribosomal RNA", at positions 793 to 1055 of the family's 1533-position model. The record is from RNAcentral.